RNAcentral lists this ribosomal RNA (1449 nucleotides) under synthetic construct. RNAcentral describes it as "bacterial SSU rRNA". It matches the Rfam family "Bacterial small subunit ribosomal RNA". RNAcentral also lists the same sequence under 1 other name. The record is from RNAcentral.
GGCUCAGGAUGAACGCUGGCGGCGUGCUUAACACAUGCAAGUCGAACGGGGAUUAUUUCAUUGAAGCUUCGGCAGAUUUGGCUUAAUCCUAGUGGCGGACGGGUGAGUAACGCGUGGGUAACCUGCCUUGUACAGGGGGAUAACAGUCAGAAAUGACUGCUAAUACCGCAUAAGCGCACAGGACCGCAUGGUCCGGUGUGAAAAACUCCGGUGGUAUAAGAUGGACCCGCGUUGGAUUAGCUAGUUGGCAGGGUAACGGCCUACCAAGGCGACGAUCCAUAGCCGGCCUGAGAGGGUGAACGGCCACAUUGGGACGGAGACACGGCCCAGACUCCUACGGGAGGCAGCAGUGGGGGAUAUUGCACAAUGGGGGAAACCCUGAUGCAGCAACGCCGCGUGUGGGAAGAAGGUUUUCGGAUUGUAAACCACUGUUCUUGGUGAAGAUAAUGACGGUAACCAAGGAGAAAGCUCCGGCUAACUACGUGCCAGCAGCCGCGGUAAUACGUAGGGAGCAAGCGUUGUCCGGAUUUACUGGGUGUAAAGGGUGCGUAGGCGGCUAGGCAAGUCAGACGUGAAAACCAUGGGCUCAACCUGUGGACUGCGUUUGAAACUGUUUAGCUUGAGUGAAGUAGAGGUAGGCGGAAUUCCCGGUGUAGCGGUGAAAUGCGUAGAGAUCGGGAGGAACACCAGUGGCGAAGGCGGCCUACUGGGCUUUAACUGACGCUGAGGCACGAAAGCAUGGGUAGCAAACAGGAUUAGAUACCCUGGUAGUCCAUGCCGUAAACGGUGAUUACUAGGUGUGGGGGGUCUGACCCCCUCCGUGCCGGAGUUAACACAAUAAGUAAUCCACCUGGGGAGUACGGCCGCAAGGUUGAAACUCAAAGGAAUUGACGGGGGCCCGCACAAGCAGUGGAGUAUGUGGUUUAAUUCGAAGCAACGCGAAGAACCUUACCAGGUCUUGACAUCCGACUAACGAAGUAGAGAUACAUUAGGUGCCCUUUUUGGGAAAGUCGAGACAGGUGGUGCAUGGUUGUCGUCAGCUCGUGUCGUGAGAUGUUGGGUUAAGUCCCGCAACGAGCGCAACCCUUGUCAUUAGUUGCUACGUAAGAGCACUCUAAUGAGACUGCCGUUGACAAAACGGAGGAAGGUGGGGACGACGUCAAAUCAUCAUGCCCCUUAUGACCUGGGCUACACACGUACUACAAUGGCCGUUAACAGAGGGAAGCAAUACCGUGAGGUGGAGCCAAACCCUAAAAACGGUCCCAGUUCGGAUUGUAGGCUGAAACUCGCCUACAUGAAGUUGGAAUUGCUAGUAAUCGCGGAUCAGCAUGCCGCGGUGAAUACGUUCCCGGGCCUUGUACACACCGCCCGUCACACCAUGGGAGCCGGUAAUACCCGAAGCCAGUAGUCUAACCGUAAGGAGGACGCUGUCGAAGGUAGGAUUGGCGA